AUUGAACGCUGGCGGAAUGCUUUACACAUGCAAGUCGAACGGCAGCACGGACUUCGGUCUGGUGGCGAGUGGCGAACGGGUGAGUAAUGUAUCGGAACGUGCCCAGUCGUGGGGGAUAACGUAGUGAAAAUUACGCUAAUACCGCAUACGAUCUAUGGAUGAAAGCGGGGGAUCGCAAGACCUCGCGCGAUUGGAGCGGCCGAUAUCAGAUUAGGUAGUUGGUGGGGUAAAGGCCCACCAAGCCAACGAUCUGUAGCUGGUCUGAGAGGACGACCAGCCACACUGGAACUGAGACACGGUCCAGACUCCUACGGGAGGCAGCGGUGGGGAAUUUUGGACAAUGGGCGAAAGCCUGAUCCAGCCAUUCCGCGUGCAGGAUGAAGGCCCUCGGGUUGUAAACUGUUUUUGUACAGAACGAAAAGGUUUCUACUAAUACUAGGAGCUCAUGACGGUACUGUAAGAAUAAGCACCGGCUAACUACGUGCCAGCAGCCGCCGUAA
This 500-nucleotide ribosomal RNA is filed under the name uncultured bacterium. RNAcentral describes it as "partial 16S ribosomal RNA". It matches the Rfam family "Bacterial small subunit ribosomal RNA", at positions 30 to 523 of the family's 1533-position model. The record is from RNAcentral.